Molecule: long non-coding RNA, 1103 nt
Organism: Clarias gariepinus (North African catfish)
Lineage: Eukaryota; Metazoa; Chordata; Actinopteri; Siluriformes; Clariidae
Exons: 5
Source: RefSeq, a predicted model, not a curated record
UCAAUGUUGCGAGCGCAGGAAACGCUCAAAGUGUCAGAGAGAGCGAGAGACGAGCCGGCGCAACUUUUCCCCCCUGCCCGUGUGUGUGUGUGUGUGUGUGUGUGAGAGAGAGUGUGAAGCGCCCUGCAGCAGCUCUGCCCGGGUUUAUUACGUGCUAACGGACUUGCUGUGACCGGGGACGCCGGGGUGACGUCAGCGGAGAGCGGUCAAAGAGCUAGAAGAGUCGGGUGUCCAUGAAGUUGUCCCUGAGGAAGUCUGUGUGUGAGAUGAACCAUUCAGCAGAGAUGAUGAAGUAAUGAUGCUGCAGCGGGACACGGCAUCAGAACGUCAGCGGAAAACACGCACGGAUCCGAGACUGACGGAAGUGAGUGAGGCAUAAUUUUGUCUGCCUCGAAUCCUGUUUUGAGGAUCAGAUCUGGCGGAGCUGAGACAAUCACAGUUCACAUUGUCACUUGGAUUAAGGCCAGGUCCUGCAGCGCUCCAAGACUGAGAUGCAGUUACUCGGUUGUCACUGCGUGUGUGUCUGUGUGUCUGUGUAAAGUUUAAUGUGACCUGACACGGUGAGACUGUGCAUUUAACUAGGAGACGGGCUGCCCUUUUUUAUUUUUUUAUCAUACAAAAGCUUUCUUUUUAUGCCUUAAGAACAAAACAUGUUUAGUUUCUAAAAUAAAAUUAUUAAAAAUAAAUAAAGACUAUAUAAUUAGGCCGAGUUGAUCGUGCUACGUCCUUCCAAGGCAAGUGUUUUAUUUGUAUAGCACAUUUCAUACACGAUGGUAAUUCAGAGUGCUUUACGUAAAAAAGAAGAAAAUAAUCAUAAAAAGAAAUAGAAAAUAAUAGCAAUAAAACUGUUUGAAUUAUUUAAAAUUUGAUUUAGAAUCAAAAUAAAACAGUUAAAAAUAUAAGAAACGUAAAAUACAGUUCCAGCGAAAACACAGAUGAUGAGACGCCGUCAUCUCGGGCAUGUCCUUGAAGUUGAAGGUCGUAUCGCUCCUUGUUUGCCUCGGUGAACAUUCAACGCUGUCGGUGAGUUUGGGCUAAACUGACAAAACCAUCGACCGUUGACUGUACCCCAUGGCCAAGCUCUGACGACGAUGACGACGAUG